GAUGAAGAACGUAGCGAAAUGCGAUAAGUAAUGUGAAUUGCAGAAUUCAGUGAAUCAUCGAAUCUUUGAACGCAUCUUGCGCUCCUUGGUAUUCCUUGGAGCAUGCCUGUUUGAGUAUCAUGAGCAAAUCUCAAAGUCAAUUCCUUUUGUUGAUUCAAUUGGUUUUGCUUUGGACUUGGAGGCCUUGCAGAUUUCACAGUCUGCUCCUCUUAAAUGCAUUAGCUGGAUCUCAGUAAUUAUGCUUGGUUCCACUCGGCGUGAUAAGUAUCACUCGCUGAGGACACUGUUAAAAAGGUGGCCAGGAAAAUACUGAUUGAACCGCUUCUAACGGUCUAUUAAGUUAGACAAUUACCCUUAAGUUUGAUCUCAAAUCAGGUAGGACUACCCGCUGAACUUAAGCAUAUCAAUAACGGAGGA
This 417-nucleotide unclassified non-coding RNA is filed under the name soil metagenome. RNAcentral describes it as "partial contains 5.8S ribosomal RNA, internal transcribed spacer 2, and large subunit ribosomal RNA". The stretch from base 1 to 120 matches the Rfam family "5.8S ribosomal RNA", at positions 35 to 154 of the family's 154-position model. The record is from RNAcentral.